This 460-nucleotide ribosomal RNA is filed under the name uncultured bacterium. RNAcentral describes it as "partial 16S ribosomal RNA". It matches the Rfam family "Bacterial small subunit ribosomal RNA", at positions 338 to 795 of the family's 1533-position model. The record is from RNAcentral.
CCUACGGGUGGCAGCAGUGAGGAAUAUUGGUCAAUGGGCGUAAGCCUGAACCAGCCAAGUCGCGUGAGGGAAGACGGUUCUAUGGAUCGUAAACCUCUUUUGUAAGGGAACAAAGUGCGGGACGUGUGCCGCAUUGUAUGUACCCUAUGAAUAAGGAUCGGCUAACUCCGUGCCAGCAGCCGCGGUAAUACGGAGGAUCCGAGCGUUAUCCGGAUUUAUUGGGUUUAAAGGGUGCGUAGGCGGGCUUUCAAGUCAGCGGGGAAAGUUUGUGGCUCAACCCAAGAAUUGCCGUUGAAACUGGGAGGCUUGAGUGUGUGAGAGGCAGGCGGAAUGCGUGGUGUAGCGGUGAAAUGCAUAGAUAUCACGCAGAACCCCGAUUGCGAAGGCAGCCUGCCGGGCCGUAACUGACGCUGAUGCACGAAAGCGUGGGGAUCAAACAGGAUUAGAUACCCGUGUAGUC